AGCAGCCGCGGUAAUUCCAGCUCCAAUAGCGUAUAUUAAAGUUGUUGCAGUUAAAAAGCUCGUAGUUGAAUUUCGGGGUUAGUAGAUUGGUCAUGCCUCUGGUAUGUACUGGUCUUACUGAUUCCUCCUUCCUGAUGAACCGUAAUGCCAUUAAUUUGGUGUUGCGGGGAGACUGGACUGUUACUUUGAAAAAAUUAGAGUGUUUAAAGCAAGCUAACGCUUGAAUACAUUAGCAUGGAAUAAUGAAAUAGGACGUUCGAUCUUAUUUUGUUGGUUUCUAGGAUUGACGUAAUGAUUAAUAGGGAUAGUUGGGGGCAUUAGUAUUCAAUUGUCAGAGGUGAAAUUCUUGGAUUUAUUGAAGACUAACUACUGCGAAAGCAUUUGCCAAGGAUGUUUUCAUUAAUCAAGAACGAAAGUUAGGGGAUCGAAGACGAUCAGAUACCGUCGUAGUCUUAACCAUAAACUAUGCCGACUAGGGAUCGGAUGAUGUUAAUUUUUAAUGACUCAUUCGGCGCCUUAC
RNAcentral lists this ribosomal RNA (520 nucleotides) under uncultured Glomus. Its description in RNAcentral is "SSU rRNA". It matches the Rfam family "Eukaryotic small subunit ribosomal RNA", at positions 569 to 1091 of the family's 1831-position model. The record is from RNAcentral. Lineage: Eukaryota; Fungi; Glomeromycota; Glomeromycetes; Glomerales; Glomeraceae.